CCUACGGGUGGCAGCAGUGGGGAAUAUUGCGCAAUGGGCGAAAGCCUGACGCAGCGACGCCGCGUGCGGGAUGAAGGUCUUCGGAUCGUAAACCUCUGUCGGCAGGGAAGAACGGUCACUUUGCUACUCAGCAUUGCCUUGCCGGUACCUGCAAAGGCAGCACCGGCUAACUCCGGGCCAGCAGCCGCGUUAAUACGAAGGGUGCGAGCUUUAAACGGAAUUACGGGCGUAAGGCGCUCGUAGGCGGUAUGUCAAGUCAAGGGUGAAAUCCCCGCGCUCAACGUGGGAACUGCAUUUGAAACUGGCAAACUGGAGUGUGUGAGAGGAGAGUGGAAGUCCAGGUGUAGGAGUGAAAUCCGUAGAUAUCUGGAGGAACAUCAGUGGCGAAGGCGACUAGCUGGAACAUAACUGACGCUGAGGAGCGAAAGCGUGGGUAGCAAACAGGAUUAGAUACCCCAGUAGUC
This 464-nucleotide ribosomal RNA is filed under the name uncultured bacterium. Its description in RNAcentral is "partial 16S ribosomal RNA". It matches the Rfam family "Bacterial small subunit ribosomal RNA", at positions 338 to 795 of the family's 1533-position model. The record is from RNAcentral.